GCCUUCGUGGUGUAGUGGUCAGCACGCUCGACCCAUAACCAAGAAGUCCGUAGUUCGAUUCCCGGUGAAGGCG
Molecule: transfer RNA, 73 nt
Filed under: Stegodyphus mimosarum
Lineage: Eukaryota; Metazoa; Arthropoda; Arachnida; Araneae; Eresidae
Rfam family: tRNA
About the family: Transfer RNA (tRNA) molecules are approximately 80 nucleotides in length.
Source: Rfam by way of RNAcentral